GUAUGUAUAUAGCGAUCGAAUCUUUUACAAAGUAUUAUAUUGCAAUAAAAUAUAAAUUUAUUAAAUCGAUGGAAUUAUAACUUAUUCUAAAAUUUUUCUUUAAUCAUCGAAGAUGGUAAAUGGAUAAUAACGAGUUAAUAACGAAAACGUUUUUAAAAUUUCUUCGUUUUGACAUUUUGUCACGAUUUUUCAUGCAUUAUAUAUGAACUUCACGUUCAGAAGUUUUCUCAUCGAUAUUUUCUGCAGAACAUUCGUAUUGCGAAUUCAUUUCAUAUUUCUUUGAAAAACUUCUAAAUGCUUAAUUCCCCGCUCGUCUUUCAGAACUUUCGAGUGUCACGAGUAAUUAACACGUUUACCCAACGGUGAUAUCCACGGUAAAGGUCCACCAAAAAGGAAAGUGUAAUUCAAUGUCGGACCUAUGGACGUAUACACGAGCGGACAGAGAAGUAACCGCACGAUAACGCGGCAUUCCAGCAUGAGAGGAUAGUAAUUAAGACCUCAACUGGUCCCAAGGGACUUUGUGCACCGUCUCUCUAUAUCUUAUCGCAUGGCUCGCCCGACUGGAUGUCCAUGCAUUAUAUCUAUGGGUUUAUUCACCCAAGAGGGCAGUUCCGUAUCGUGAAACGAGUCGUUGUACACGUAGACAGAGUUCGAUCUUGUGUUUUCUAAUUAUCGAUGAGGUUCCUCGAACGGGCGUCGCUUCUUCACGGAUAUAUCAGGUGUUUCGAGUGGAACGUUUAAAACCUGAGUCAAUUAAGACAUUCUGUCUUGGAAAUUUUUACAAGCUCUGCUAUCGAUUCGGAUACACUCGUAUCGUGGUCUAGAGAAUGGAGGAUGGGGAAUAAAAUUAGUAUCAAGAAUGAUAUAAACUUUGAAAUCUUUAAAUCCAAGAUUUAAAAUGUUCCGAGAUUUCGAAUCUUGAAAUUUUUUUAUAUCAAUUUUACGAUUUUUUUUACGAUUCUCUAGAUAAACAAUGAUUAUAAAUAAGAAGUUUCGUAAGAGAUUUUAAUUGAUAAGAAUUUAUUUUUAAAGGAAUUACAUAUACGAUGAAUAAUAUUGCCAGUAUCGAUAAAAUGUGAAUCGACAAUGUGAUAAAUAUCGAUGGUUAGCGAAGACUUGGAAUUAGUUGCAAGAUGGCCGAUCGACCGGUGAAAUCAUUAAAUUGUCAGGAAAUUGAACCGGUUUAGACGAGUGCAAAGUAAUCUCGAGACGUGGAUAAAAAUACGGAUGGAAAGCUGGUCGUACGGCAAUUAUAUCGGCACGACUUAACGCAUAACGAUCAUUUUUUCCGACGCUGGGCCGGGGAACAUGGGAAAAUAGUUUAAUAUCGGCGAACCGGUUUAACGCAGCUCGUUUUGAGAUGGCGACGGUGACGUUCGGUCACGCAACCCGCAUUAUAUACUUUGAAAAUAAGAACAAGAAGAGUAUCGUUGAUGAGCAUGCACCGAGAGAAUUUAAAGAGACGCGCAAAGAACACGAAACCAUUAUCGUGUUGACUAAUUGCGGAAUUUUAUAACAACAGAUGGUCAGUGGACAUCUUGAGAAUGACAGAAUUUCAAAGAGGGAUAAAUUUUUUAUGAGAAAAUAUUUGGAGAACAUGAACAAUAUAUUUUUGCAAAUAUUAUGAAACGUUAAUUGUGCAAGAACAUUUAUAUUUUUUAUUUGAAAUUUAUAAGAAUUACUAGUUUUAUUGUUAAAUGAUAUAUUUCUGAAAGAAAAUUGACCAAUAACCGUGGUCAUAGAUAUACUGAUUCCUUGAGGUUUCAAGUUGACAUGAUUAAUAGAAGCCGAAAUUGGUUCUUAAUGACACGAUAAAGAAAAGGGAAUCCAACCGCCAUUAGAUGCAUUUUAGUUACGCGUUUCUAAUUUCCACUUGGGCUAAUGAGCUUUUCAUCGAGAUUCGAGUAAUCUUCUGCUCUCAGAAAAAAAUGAUCUGCCCGCUUACUUUUCUUUUUUAUCUGAGCUUAUAAACGACCAUGAUUCGAAAUAUCAAGAUAGAACGAUUAAUACUAGAUAAUUACAAAGUUUUUUCUUGGCAGGGGAAAAAAUGAAACAAAUGUAAGUAAACAAUAUUUAUUUAUCAAAUAAUUAUUUUUAUAUUGUUUACAGAAAGAAAAAUUAUAAAUAUGUAUCAGUUUAUAAAAGUCAGCAUUUUCAAUUUUUGAUUCUGGAAAUAAUUUUCCAGAAUCAAAAUUUAAUAGAAUUAUAUAUAUUCUUGGUUCUUUUUUUACACAGUUUAUUUUUACACGAUAUAUACAAAGUCAUAAAAAUAAUACAAAUCAAGUGUAUUUCUAUAUUUUCAAUUGUUUUUUAGAUAAUUCGUUUUAUUUCAAAACAAGUUUUAUAUUUUAUUUGUAAACCAAUUGUUACCAAUUAUUUUUUUACACGAUUUUUUUUUACGCUCAUUCAUUGUGUAAAAAGACCCAAAUAUAUAUGAAUUCUAUAAUACAUACUUAUACAAAUGCAUAACUUUAAAUUUAAAUUUAAUUCAGCAUACAUUCAAUUUCAACUCACAACAAUCAUUCACACUCGAUAUAUAUUUAUAGAUAUUUUUUAUAUGUGAUUUAUUAUUUAUUAUUUCAUCACGUAUUUUUUCAUCAUAAAAAUAAUAACAAUUUUCUCAUUUAUUUUAGAGAUACAUAUAUAUAUCCAUCCACUUCCUUUACAUUAAAUUAUGUUUCAUACAAAAAUAUAUUCGUUCAUUCAUUAAAUCUAUGUUUCUCAAUCGCGAAAUUAUUAAUCAAUGGAGAAUACGAGGCACGUGGACAACACACAUUGGGUAACGAUUCUGCGCGGAUGAUGCAUGCUUAGAGAGCGCCCAAGCAUUUCCAUCGUGAGGGAUGCCUCCAAGCGGCAGAUUCAUGUCAUCGUGUCAUCGAUAAUUGAUGUAUACGCGAACUAAUGGCUGUAAUUACCUCAACCUAAUAUCCAACGUGGAAUCUCGCGCUUCCCUGACGCGCAUACACAUCCGUGAUGGUGGGAACGAAGCGGUAUUCGCGCUAAAAUUUCCAGAAGAAAUUAAUGAUUUCACAGAGGCCGUGACAGUUGGGCCUUGAUAAUUAAUCGUCACGGUUUGCCUGAAGCGGCAUGCAUUGACUGGAUCUUCUUGUCAUAUUUCUUUCUAUUCUUCUUGGUCAUUCUUUGGACAAGAAUUAUGCCAGACCACCGUUUAUUACACAAUGAUUGUGACCUGACAUUUAUGAACAAUAAUACAUUUUUAGACGAGAAGAAAAGUUGGAUAAAGAAGUCUUCAGGAUUGACCUCGUUCGAAGAGUUCUUUAGCAAAGGAUUUCGAGUAUUGUUCGAGUGAAAUUUUGGAGCUUUGGAGAGUUUGCUGUACAAACAGGGACUAUUCUAUAUAUAGUCGGACGAGUAGAGUCAGUGCAGAUAAACAAAACACUUGUGUGUAAAGCGCGUGAUAUAUGCAGCGACCCAGGCUAUUGUAUGGCAAACGCAAGUCCACUAUUCACGGCUAGGAAGGAAGUUAUGUUAAAAUAAAAAGAUAUUAAUUAUUUGGAACUUAUUUUAUAAUUUUAUGUAAUGCGUUAUUUAUAUUUAUAUUCGCCGGAGAUGAAAUAUAAUAUAUAUGUAUACAUUAAUUUUAAGAAAAAUAAAUACCUAUAUUAUAUUAA
Molecule: long non-coding RNA, 3632 nt
Organism: Apis cerana (Asiatic honeybee)
Lineage: Eukaryota; Metazoa; Arthropoda; Insecta; Hymenoptera; Apidae
Source: RefSeq, a predicted model, not a curated record